UAACGAAUCUUCCGCAAUGCGCGAAAGCGUGACGGAGCAAUGCCGCGUGCAGGAUGAAGCCCUUCGGGGUGUAAACUGCUGUCAGGGAUUAGGAACACAAUGACCAUUCCCAAAGGAAGAGACGACUAACUCUGUGCCAGCAGUCGCGGUAAUACAGAGGUCUCGAGCGUUAGUCGGAAUCACUGGGCUUAAAGCGUACGUAGGCGGAUCUGCAGGCGUCGUGUGAAAUCCCUCGGCUCAACCGGGGAACUGCACGGCGAACCGCAGAUCUUGAGAUCGGUAGGGGCGGUCGGAACGAUAGGUGGAGUGGUGAAAUGCGUUGAUAUCUAUCGGAACGCCGAAGGUGAAGACAGGCCGCUGGGCCGACUCUGACGCUGAGGUACGAAAGCGUGGGGAGCGAACGGGAUUAGAUACCCCCGUAGUCC
RNAcentral lists this ribosomal RNA (425 nucleotides) under uncultured bacterium. RNAcentral's name for it is "bacterial SSU rRNA". It matches the Rfam family "Bacterial small subunit ribosomal RNA", at positions 355 to 796 of the family's 1533-position model. The record is from RNAcentral.